GAGUUUGAUCUUGGCUCAGGACGAACGCUGGCGGCGUGCUUAACACAUGCAAGUCGCGGGGGUGAGCAAUCACUCACCGGCGAACGGGUGCGUAACACGUGAGCGACCUGCCCACUUGUGGGGUAUAGCCGGCCCAACGGCCGGGUAAUCCCGCAUACGCUUCGUCUGGCUGCAUGGCCGGGGGAGGAAAGCCGUAAGGCGCAAAGUGGAGGGGCUCGCGGCCUAUCAGCUAGUUGGCGGGGUAACGCCACCAAGGCUAUGACGGGUAGCUGGUCUGAGAGGAUGGCCAGCCACAUUGGGACUGAGAUACGGCCCAGACUCUACGGGAGGCAGCAGUGGGGAAUCUUGGACAAUGGGGGCAACCCUGAUCCAGCGACGCCGCGUGGAGGACGAAGGUCUUCGGAUUGUAAACUCCUUUUAGGGGGACGGAAU
This 432-nucleotide ribosomal RNA is filed under the name uncultured Gemmatimonadota bacterium. RNAcentral describes it as "bacterial SSU rRNA". It matches the Rfam family "Bacterial small subunit ribosomal RNA", at positions 9 to 450 of the family's 1533-position model. The record is from RNAcentral. Lineage: Bacteria; Pseudomonadati; Gemmatimonadota.